AUUGCCUCAGUAACGGCGAGUGAAGCGGCAACAGCUCAAAUUUGAAAUCUGGCCGCAAGGUCCGAGUUGUAAUUUGUAGAGGAUGCUUUUGGCGAGGUGACUUCCGAGUUCCCUGGAACGGGACGCCAUAGAGGGUGAGAGCCCCGUACGGUCGUGCCACCGAGCCUCUGUAAAGCUCCUUCGACGAGUCGAGUAGUUUGGGAAUGCUGCUCUAAAUGGGAGGUGUACGUCUUCUAAAGCUAAAUACCGGCCAGAGACCGAUAGCGCACAAGUAGAGUGAUCGAAAGAUGAAAAGCACUUUGAAAAGAGGGUUAAAAAGUACGUGAAAUUGUUGAAAGGGAAGCAUUCAUGACCAGACUUGGGCUUGGUUGAACAUCCGGCGUUCUCGCCGGUGCACUCUGCCAGCUCAGGCCAGCAUCAGUUUGCCCCGGGGGACAAAGGCGGCGGGAAUGUGGCUCCCCACGGGGAGUGUUAUAGCCCGUCGUGUAAUGCCCUGGGGUGGACUGAGGUUCGCGCUUCGGCACGGAUGCUGGCGUAAUGGUCAUCAAUGACCCGUCUUGAAACACGGACCAAGGAGUCGUCUUCGUAUGCGAGUGUUCGGGUGUCAAACCCCUACGCGUAAUGAAAGUGAACGUAGGUGAGAGCUUCGGCGCAUCACCGACCGAUCCUGAUGUUCUCGGAUGGAUUUGAGUAAGAGCAUACGGGGCCGGACCCGAAAGAAGGUGAACUAUGCCUGUAUAGGGUGAAGCCAGAGGAAACUCUGGUGGAGGCUCGCAGCGGUUCUGACGUGCAAAUCGAUCGUCAAAUAUGGGCAUGGGGGCGAAAGACUAAUCGAACCUUCUAGUAGCUGGUUUCCGCCGAAGUUUCCCUCAGGAUAGCAGUGUUGAACUCAGUUUUAUGAGGUAAAGCGAAUGAUUAGGGACCAGGGGGCGCUAUAUAGCCUUCAUCCAUUCUCAAACUUUAAAUAUGUAAGAAGCCCUUGUUGCUUAAUUGAAC
Molecule: ribosomal RNA, 996 nt
Filed under: Acremonium sp.
Lineage: Eukaryota; Fungi; Ascomycota; Sordariomycetes; Hypocreales; Bionectriaceae
Description: partial large subunit ribosomal RNA
Rfam family: Eukaryotic large subunit ribosomal RNA
Source: RNAcentral